UACAGUGAUCGGGUUAUGAUGGA
Molecule: microRNA, 23 nt
Filed under: Sarcophilus harrisii (Tasmanian devil)
Lineage: Eukaryota; Metazoa; Chordata; Mammalia; Dasyuromorphia; Dasyuridae
Description: Sha-Mir-1329_5p (mature (guide))
Source: RNAcentral